This 74-nucleotide transfer RNA is filed under the name subsurface metagenome. RNAcentral's name for it is "tRNA-Glu". It matches the Rfam family "tRNA". From Rfam's summary of the family: Transfer RNA (tRNA) molecules are approximately 80 nucleotides in length. Their secondary structure includes four short double-helical elements and three loops (D, anti-codon, and T loops). The record is from RNAcentral.
GCCCCCAUCGUCUAGAGGCCUAGGACACCGGCCUUUCACGCCGGCAGCAGCGGUUCGAAUCCGCUUGGGGGUAC